UACGGGGGAGGCAAGCGUUAAUCGGAUUUAUUGGGCGUAAAGAGCGUGUAGGCGGUUUCUUAAGUCGGGUCUUAAAGACCACGGCUCACCCGUGGGAGUGGGCCCGAUACUGAGGAACUUGAGUAUGGCAGAGGCAAGCGGAAUUCCAGGUGUAGCGGUGAAAUGCAUAGAUAUCUGGAGGAACACCCGUGGCGAAGGCGGCUUGCUGGGCUGUUACUGACGCUGAGACGCGAAAGCCAGGGGAGCGAACGGG
RNAcentral lists this unclassified non-coding RNA (253 nucleotides) under uncultured bacterium. Its description in RNAcentral is "contains 16S-23S intergenic spacer region". It matches the Rfam family "Bacterial small subunit ribosomal RNA", at positions 524 to 776 of the family's 1533-position model. The record is from RNAcentral.